GCACUUCAGCAGCACAUACACUAAAAUUGGAAUGAUACAGAGAAGAUUAGCAUGGCCCCUGUGCAAGAAUGACGUGCAAAUUUGUAAAGCGUUCCAAGUUUAA
Bison bison bison is the source of this 103-nucleotide small nuclear RNA. NCBI's taxonomy places the organism in Eukaryota, Metazoa, Chordata, Mammalia, Artiodactyla, Bovidae. The record is from Ensembl.